AAUAGUAAUGUUGGUUUUCUAUUGGGCUUGAAUAUAGUGUGGAAGAAGGAAUCCAUCAAACUAAAGCUCAGUGUAGAGAUAAUCUUUAAAUGGUUUGCAUAUUGUGAAUUCAUACUAACAAUAAAUGACAAUGGCAGAUAAUGCACAAAAAUGUAUCUUAAGUACUUCCAAUUCUGUUAAUUACAGUGUGCGUGCAGUUUGCGUCGUAAAAUAUUUCACAAGAACAAAUGGGUCAUCCGUGAUCCAAUCAAUAAUAGUUGUAGAUUGAUGU
Molecule: unclassified non-coding RNA, 271 nt
Filed under: Hevea brasiliensis (rubber tree)
Lineage: Eukaryota; Viridiplantae; Streptophyta; Magnoliopsida; Malpighiales; Euphorbiaceae
Source: RNAcentral